This 505-nucleotide ribosomal RNA is filed under the name uncultured bacterium. RNAcentral's name for it is "bacterial SSU rRNA". It matches the Rfam family "Bacterial small subunit ribosomal RNA", at positions 30 to 508 of the family's 1533-position model. The record is from RNAcentral.
AGCGAACGCUGGCGGCGUACUUAACACAUGCAAGUCGAACGAGGAGCUUCGGUGUAGCAAUACAUCGGAGUUUCGAGUGGCGCACGGGUGAGUAACACGUGGGCAACCUGCCCUUGAGAUCAGGAUACCCCCUCGAAAGGGGGGCUAAUACUGGAUACGCUUCUCGGGUCGCAAGACGUGGGGAGGAAAGGUGGCGAAAGCUACCGCUCUUGGAGGGGCUCGCGGCCUAUCAGCUAGUUGGUGAGGUCACGGCUCACCAAGGCGAUGACGGGUAGCUGGUCUGAGAGGACGACCAGCCACACGGGGACUGAGACACGGCCCCGACUCCUACGGGAGGCAGCAGUGGGGAAUUUUCCGCAAUGGGCGAAAGCCUGACGGAGUGACGCCGCGUGGGGGACGAAGGCCUUCGGGUCGUAAACCCCUGUCAGAGGGAAAGAAGGGUUGUGCGGUGAAUAGCCGCGUGACUUGACGGUACCUUCAGAGGAAGCCCCGGCCAACUCUGUGC